RNAcentral lists this ribosomal RNA (433 nucleotides) under uncultured bacterium. RNAcentral describes it as "partial 16S ribosomal RNA". It matches the Rfam family "Bacterial small subunit ribosomal RNA", at positions 29 to 507 of the family's 1533-position model. The record is from RNAcentral.
AGCGAACGCUGGCGGCAGGCUCAACACAUGCAAGUCGAGCGGGCACUUCGGUGUCAGCGGCAGACGGGUGAGUAACACGUGGGAACGUACCCUUUGGUUCGGAAUAACGCUGGGAAACUAGCGCUAAUACCGGAUACGCCCUUUUGGGGAAAGGCUUGCUGCCGAAGGAUCGGCCCGCGUCUGAUUAGCUAGUUGGUGGGGUAAUGGCCUACCAAGGCGACGAUCAGUAGCUGGUCUGAGAGGAUGAUCAGCCACACUGGGACUGAGACACGGCCCAGACUCCUACGGGAGGCAGCAGUGGGGAAUAUUGGACAAUGGGCGCAAGCCUGAUCCAGCCAUGCCGCGUGAGUGAUGAAGGCCUUAGGGUUGUAAAGCUCUUUUGUCCGGGACGAUAAUGACGGUACCGGAAGAAUAAGCCCCGGCUAACUUCGUG